Molecule: non-coding RNA, 127 nt
Filed under: Carassius auratus (goldfish)
Lineage: Eukaryota; Metazoa; Chordata; Actinopteri; Cypriniformes; Cyprinidae
Source: RNAcentral
GUUUUUUUUGACAGUAGAGAAGGUUAGCGCUGUCUUAGACAAGGAUGGAAGAGGUUCUAGUGACCUUCAGCACACAUUGCCACCUACUCUCUCAUGUUUUGUGUGGUUAUGAAGUGGUAAAAGCUCU